CAGGGUACCUUUGACCCUCCUUAGUUCAACCAAAUGAACUAAAGUUUUAAAAUGACAUGAUUUUUUUUUAAAAUAAUUCAUUUGUUUAAACUAAGGAGGAUCAAAAGGUACCCUG
Non-coding RNA from Brachypodium distachyon (stiff brome), 115 nucleotides. The record is from Rfam. Lineage: Eukaryota; Viridiplantae; Streptophyta; Magnoliopsida; Poales; Poaceae.